CCAUCAUGUUCCUAGGCAGGCUCCAUAAGUUUAUAACACUAUGCAAUAAAGAAAUGUAAUCAAGUGAAACAUCAGGUAAGGACCAUGUCAGUGCAUUUCGCUGUGCUUAAAAGGCAUCGUCGUUACAUUCCCUGUAAACAGCAAAACUGAAAAGGCAGUUUUAAAAAGUACACAUUGUGCCUUUUUCCAUUACAUUUCACAAGGACACACCCACACUUAAAACACUGACCUGUUAACUCCUGUUUUUUGUCUCAGUGUCAGGAAUGUCUCAUGUUGCAUUAUAAAUACUAGUGUUUCCACUGUUUCUUUCUUCUCAACACUCAAGUAAAAUAUAUACAUUUCAAAUGAACAGAACCUGAACCAACCCACAUAACACUUAUGGAGGACACUCAUCCUAACCAUGGCAGCUGAAGGAGUCGUUGACAGGAAGUUCCAGGUCUUUAUAAAAUGCUUUAGAAUCAAAAGUUGUACUAAAAAUAGAUUUUGUUUUGUUCAUCAGCAUAAAAAAAA
Molecule: long non-coding RNA, 510 nt
Organism: Thalassophryne amazonica
Lineage: Eukaryota; Metazoa; Chordata; Actinopteri; Batrachoidiformes; Batrachoididae
Exons: 2
Source: RefSeq, a predicted model, not a curated record